RNAcentral lists this ribosomal RNA (472 nucleotides) under uncultured Bacillus sp. RNAcentral's name for it is "bacterial SSU rRNA". It matches the Rfam family "Bacterial small subunit ribosomal RNA", at positions 35 to 486 of the family's 1533-position model. The record is from RNAcentral. Lineage: Bacteria; Bacillati; Bacillota; Bacilli; Caryophanales; Bacillaceae.
GCUGGCGGCGUGCCUAAUACAUGCAAGUCGAGCGAAUGGAUUGAGAGCUUGCUCUCAAGAAGUUAGCGGCGGACGGGUGAGUAACACGUGGGUAACCUGCCCAUAAGACUGGGAUAACUCCGGGAAACCGGGGCUAAUACCGGAUAACAUUUUGAACUGCAUGGUUCGAAAUUGAAAGGCGGCUUCGGCUGUCACUUAUGGAUGGACCCGCGUCGCAUUAGCUAGUUGGUGAGGUAACGGCUCACCAAGGCAACGAUGCGUAGCCGACCUGAGAGGGUGAUCGGCCACACUGGGACUGAGACACGGCCCAGACUCCUACGGGAGGCAGCAGUAGGGAAUCUUCCGCAAUGGACGAAAGUCUGACGGAGCAACGCCGCGUGAGUGAUGAAGGCUUUCGGGUCGUAAAACUCUGUUGUUAGGGAAGAACAAGUGUUAGUUGAAUAAGCUGGCACCUUGACGGGUACCUAACCAG